GAUGAACGCUAGCUACAGGCUUAACACAUGCAAGUUGAGGGGCAGCAUGGUCUUAGCUUGCUAAGGCCGAUGGCGACCGGCGCACGGGUGAGUAACACGUAUCCAACCUGCCGUCUACUCUUGGACAGCCUUCUGAAAGGAAGAUUAAUACAAGAUGGCAUCAUGAGUCCGCAUGUUCACAUGAUUAAAGGUAUUCCGGUAGACGAUGGGGAUGCGUUCCAUUAGAUAGUAGGCGGGGUAACGGCCCACCUAGUCUUCGAUGGAUAGGGGUUCUGAGAGGAAGGUCCCCCACAUUGGAACUGAGACACGGUCCAAACUCCUACGGGAGGCAGCAGUGAGGAAUAUUGGUCAAUGGGCGAGAGCCUGAACCAGCCAAGUAGCGUGAAGGAUGACUGCCUAUGGUGUAAACUUCUUUAUAAAGGAAUAAAGUCGGUAUGUAUACCGUUUGCAUGUACUUUAUGAAUAAGGAUCGGCUAACU
Molecule: ribosomal RNA, 479 nt
Filed under: uncultured bacterium
Lineage: Bacteria
Description: bacterial SSU rRNA
Rfam family: Bacterial small subunit ribosomal RNA
Source: RNAcentral